This is a long non-coding RNA of Acanthopagrus latus (yellowfin seabream), 2443 nucleotides long. RefSeq lists it as uncharacterized. The transcript has 2 exons. The record is from RefSeq and is a predicted model, not a curated record. Lineage: Eukaryota; Metazoa; Chordata; Actinopteri; Spariformes; Sparidae.
UUUGGCCUCUGACUGGUGUCUCCAUGGCAACGGAAGCUGAGGCUCCUGGGUAUUGUAGUCAUCUACUGCUUGGAACCAGCUAAAUCAAGAUUUCUGAUCAUGAUUGUCAUGAUUGUGACAUUAUCAGUGAUGGUCCUGUGUUUCUGCGUUUGGCAACGCUGAGGUGAAGUGACAAAAAAAUAUUUUAUGGGAAAACAAGAACAAAAAAAAAACAAAAAAAAAAAAAACACACCUGGAACCAUCUACCAAGAAAUAACUGAACAAUAUUUUUAGGGAUUAGAAAUGUUAUGCAUUUGUUGAGAUGAACAUUAAAAGGAGCAAAAUCAACUGAAAUUUUUAAACGUUUAAGACAUAUGGUCUCUCUUCAGGACAGGACCUCAAGAUUACAUAACAGAGAGAAAGUAAUCUUCAUGGUGCCUGAAGGGGCCCCUCAGGGUCUGGGGCCCCGGCCACAGCUGUCCGCCUUCUCUGCUGAUGUUGAUGUGACCCACUACAGUAGACCUCAACAUUCCUGGCCCGACUAAACGGGCGGGAUCAUGUGACUACAAGUCUUUGGUUGAAAUAUAACUCUAGGCUUUUUUUUGCUUGUCUCAUCCCACAUCCCUGCUCAGUAAAAGUACAGGAAAGGAGAGGGAACAUUCUCUAUAAUGCUUUCUUGUCAUUUUGACAAACAAACAAUGGGUGAUUUUACUUUUAUGGGACUAAAACAGUUAUCUAAAGAGGUGUGUUAUGCAAGAUCUGGCCAUCUGUCAAAUGCAUACCCAGCAAAUCACCAGAGUAGCUGCUAACUGUAGCUGCCUUAGCUAGUUAGCUCAGUAUCCAUGCAGUAGUGGUUCAGACUGGGAGAGUCAGUUUCCAGUAAAGUGCAAGAACUCCCCCAAAAAAGAUGCACUCAAGUAAACCUCAUUACUAACACUGAAUUCUGCUGUUGUCAUAUUUAUUUUUUGUACUCCUUUAAUGGAAAUAAAUGACAUUAUGUGUCAUUUUUUUCGUUCCUGUGUUACAUAAAACUGACUCUGAAUCAGUUUUGUUAAAAGAACUCAAAAGUCACACUCAAAGUACACUUUAAUGUAAAUUAUACUCAUAUUUACAUGUGUGUUUUGACUGAAUGAUCAUGAUUUGAUCUGAUAGUCAGCAGUUUUACAAUAUUUAAAUCCGAGGAAAUAUAAUUCAAAAAACAAAAUGUGUCCACACAUUGAUGAAGUGGAGAAAAAAGUACCGUAUUUGCCUUGGAAAGGAAGUGAAAGUGUCAAGUAGAGGAAAUUGUAAAUAGGCAAGUAAGUACAAAAGUAGGCUACAGCACUUUGAGUAAAUGUACUUAGUAACAGAGAGAAUCCAUUCACUGCUGAAGGUGUGGCAACAAUGCAGGGGGGUGGACACAAUAAUCUGAACAGCUGCACAAUUCAAUCAGUGCAGCUGAAGUUUUACAUACAUGCUUCAUAAAGCCGAGUGUUGCACUGAGAAAUACCCCUCUGGUGCAGCUGGGGUCUCCUCCCCUUUCCUUCCUCUCUUCCGUUCACGGUUCAACAUCAGCAGUUUUCACGCCAACAAUAUUUUACUACGGUUUUAAUGUUUUUACAACAACCACAAACCACCUGACUGACCGACUGAGCCACGUCUCUAAAUAAAAAACACUCCCAGAGGAGACUGCGCAACACUGAAAAUAUGACUGGUAAUCCGGUCUGACGGCUCCACGGUGCGUGUAAAACCGCCAAAGCUCUGGAGAAAACUCGUCUGUUCCGCAGGGACUGGGAGCACAGGCCGAUCUUGGGGAUCAUCGUUGCGUGCAGCUUGCAGACCACCUCGCCCCUCAGCGCCGAAAGUUGAGAGCUGACUGUCUGUCGUCGGGUCCGGGUCAGAACACAGGGAGAAGGGGGUGGGUGGAAGUCUUCAGACCUGCAGUGACAGUGAAAAGUGACAGUGAACAGGAAAUUCCUCCUCGCCUGCCGGAGAGCUUGUGUGACUGCUGCUGCUGCUGCUUCCUCGGACCUUGAUCCGUCAGCACUGUUCACACAGUCCUGCUGGUGGACUGCUGGGCUGCAGGGAAACUCUGCAGAGAGAGCAGAGAUCCCUCCUGUCCUUCACUUUAAUCACGCUUAAGACAAUUUAAAUACUUCUGCCUGGAUCAUUCAGCCAUUCAGCUGGAGCCACCAGCUGGUGUCUGUGUUGUUGUUGAUGAGCAGACCACACCAGGGUCACAUGACGUUAAAGGUCACCACCACUAAGAGUCUUAAUACACAGUUACUGUAUAAGCUGUCUCCAAAGUGAUCAGCGUACAAAUUGUGAAGCUAAAGUUCAAUAGUUUGUGACUAAAGUCGGCCUGUAAAGACGGAUGAGUGAGUCUCUGUUGGCUGUGAUGACGUUUAAUGUCCGCGACAUUUGUUAGCAACCGCUGUUUUUAACACAUAUUAUGAGCUUUAUAAUUAAAUUGUGGAACAUGUAA